Molecule: ribosomal RNA, 449 nt
Filed under: uncultured bacterium
Lineage: Bacteria
Description: bacterial SSU rRNA
Rfam family: Bacterial small subunit ribosomal RNA
Source: RNAcentral
UGAGGAAUAUUGCACAAUGGGGGCAACCCUGAUGCAGCGACGCCGCGUGGGUGAUGAAGGUUUUCGGAUCGUAAAGCCCUUUUCUGCAUGACGAGCACAGGACGGUAGUGCAGGAAUAAGUGUCGGCUAACUACGUGCCAGCAGCCGCGGUAAAACGUAGGACACAAGCGUUAUCCGGAAUUACUGGGCGUAAAGGGCGUGCAGGCGGUUGCGUAAGUUAGGCGUGAAAGACUUCGGCUAAACCGGGGGAGGUCGUCUGAUACUGCGCAACUAGAGUAUGGUAGAGGCGUGUAGAAUUCCGGGUGUAGUGGUGAAAUGCGUAGAGAUCCGGAGGAAUACCAGUGGCGAAGGCGGCACGCUGGGCCAUAACUGACGCUAAGACGCGAAAGCAUGGGUAGCGAACGGGAUUAGAUACCCUGGUAGUCCCUGAGCGGGCUGGCAAGGCGCAU